GGCCGCACACGCGCCGGACCGGGUACCGCUGUGCCCGGCCUGGCCGCGGCCUAGUCCCGGCAGACGGGACUGACGAGGUCACCAAGCCCAGGCCGAGACGGCGCGGGUGUCAGGGACUUGGGAAUCCCCCUCCCCCAGUCCCGAUCCCGCUUUCCUUUGGGGUUUCACCUCAGAGGACCCGACAGCACUCUUGCAGAACAGCCGUCUGCCUGUCUUCCUGGCUCGCUCCCUGCAGGAAUGGUCUGGGGCAACCCCAGCAACACGCCCACCUGUGGCCAGGAUGAAUAGGAAUCCAGUUCAGGCUUGGCUUCCAUGGCAAUCAAGGCCCACCAGGCCCCAGCAACCUUCCCUACCCCCCAUUCCUUUUUGCUGCCCCCCUCCACACCAGGCAUGUUCCCUGCCACACCAUGCUGUUCCCCUCACCUGGGCUGCCCUCCCAACUCCUCUCUGCCUCUGGAGAUGCUCUGCCAUUCAAGACUUGGCUCAGGCUCCAGGUCCUCCCUGGGCCUUCUAGAGCCCCUGGUUCUCACUCCUCUGAACACUUCCAGCCUGGCUAAUAGCCCACUGCAUCCUGGCCUGGGGUACAGGUGGCCAGCACAGGUGUGGGGGCCAGCUUCCAACACAAGCACGGGUAGGUCCCUCUGCAGACCAUGGGCUGCAAGAGGCCCGGCCUUGCCCACUGCAGGGGCCCUGCGCAGGGCUGGGCACGAAGCAGGUGGGUGUCCACCAAUCUAGUAUCCAAAACCCUGCUUGGUUCACCCCCACCUCUGUUGAAGGAAAGCAACACUGUGAUGGAGAGGUUUCCUCAUCCUCAAGAUGGACUGCACCUUCUGGCAUCUCAAGUGGUUCUUGUGAAGAUUAAAUGAAUCCAUCAGGCCGGGUGCGGUGGCUCACGCCUGUAAUCCCAGCACUUUGGGAGGCCGAGACGAGCGCAUCACCUGAGGUCAGGAGUUCCAGACCAGCCUGGCCAACAAGACCUCCCCACAGAGUUGACGCUCUGGAAAGAAAAGCCAGGCUUUUCUCUGAGGUUUUGCAUCUCCUUGGCCAAUGUGCUCAUGCCAGAGAAGAGCAGUGCAUGGCCAGUUUGAGGAGCACGGCCAUGUGACCUUGGACAGCCCCUGCCUCUCUCUAGGACUCACUCCCGGUCCCUAACCUCAGCUCUCUGAUCUGUACCACAAGGAGCUGCCACUAACACCUGUGUCAGAACUACUGUAAGGACCCUUUCCGCUGCCAGCAGCCUUGAAGCCACCUGGGACUGCACAGUAUGUCUGUGUGUGCCUUGAUCGCAUCACCCCCUGGACCUCCAGUGACCGAGAUCUCCCGCCAGACACCCGGGGCUGAGUCCUCGGAGAAGCCGCCUGCCGGGUGCAUCACCAGGACUCCAUUGGUGGUCAGUCCAUCCAUCAGGCCAUCUGGGGUCCGCCAUUUGGCCGCUCGCUCCUGGGACCACAUGAGGGAUCAGAUCACAUCCCCCAGGGGCCCCCCAGCAGGCCAUGUGCCAGAGGCACUGCCCCCGCUACCUUCAAGUUCAGAGGCGGCCCAGAGAGGACUGGCAUUGAAGCUGCAUGACUUGAGCGUCUCUCUGGGCCUCACUUUGCUCAUCAGUUAGGUGGGGUUGCUAACUGCCAGGACCACCAUUUGGAUUACUGUGGGCUGGUUCAUCACCUCAAGAUGCUGCACCUCCCA
This 1686-nucleotide long non-coding RNA is filed under the name Homo sapiens (human). RNAcentral's name for it is "long non-coding RNA NONHSAT160444.1". Lineage: Eukaryota; Metazoa; Chordata; Mammalia; Primates; Hominidae. The record is from RNAcentral.